UACGGAGGGUGCAAGCGUUAUCCGGAUUUACUGGGUUUAAAGGGUGUGUAGGCGGACUUUUAAGUCAGCGGUGAAAUCUCCGGGCUCAACCCGGAAACUGCCAUUGAUACUAUUGGUCUUGAAUAUUGUUGAGGUGGGCGGAACGGGUCAUGUAGCGGUGAAAUGCUUAGAUAUGAUGUAGAACACCGAUUGCGAAGGCAGCUCACUAAGCAGACAUUGACGCUGAGGCACGAAAGCGUGGGGAUCAAACAGG
This 253-nucleotide ribosomal RNA is filed under the name uncultured bacterium. RNAcentral describes it as "partial 16S ribosomal RNA". It matches the Rfam family "Bacterial small subunit ribosomal RNA", at positions 524 to 776 of the family's 1533-position model. The record is from RNAcentral.